This 2354-nucleotide long non-coding RNA is filed under the name Sorghum bicolor (sorghum). Its description in RNAcentral is "long non-coding RNA (SBIC_LNC003370)". The record is from RNAcentral. Lineage: Eukaryota; Viridiplantae; Streptophyta; Magnoliopsida; Poales; Poaceae.
GCAGUAUAUAGGUAUAUACUAUAUGUGCUGCUGUAAUUGUUCUCACAGCAAGUAAAGAUAUAUGGACUGCAAAUGUAAAUAUAGAUCGAGGAUAUAUAUGUUUUAUGUAUAGACUACAAAGUAGUUUAGAGAAAUAUAUAAAUUUACAUGUACAUACAUAUAGCGGUGUCAAAGGUUCCAGACAUGUAGCAGUUCAAAAGGUAAUGAGAAUUUCUCAUGCCAAUGCAUCAAAGUUGCUGUCCCUCCCUAAAAAAAAGUUGUAGUCCCAAGUACAGUGCGACCAGUUUACAACUAAUCCUGUCACGCCACCAUUAUCUUAAUUGCAAGACAAUAGGCAGUAAGCUGCAUACGUAGAGUUGGCUGUGGCUGGUAUGAUUCACUAACUCUGCUGACCAGUCACCUUUCAUUUAGGAUGUUUACUCCACCACUGGUAAACCCUCCACUAUCAUCUCUGUUUUCAAAAGACUGGCUCUAAAGAACAAAAGAAAUGAUAGAUGAACAAAUUAGUUUCAAUGCAGUAUAGAAAGUUUGAAGUGUAGCUACAAAAUCUAUCGCUUACAUGUAUUGGCAACAUCUUGGUUAGCAGAGGACCUGGUAGCACUCAUUUUUUCAAUCUGCGUAGCAGGGGCACAUCAAUUAAUAAGUUGAACUACCAAAAACAAAGUAAAAAAUAGAAGAAAAUGAGACAUUCAUUUACAGAGCCUCAUAGUUUCUGCGUAGCAUUCCAAGCUGUAUCACAUAAUAAGGCACAUUCCACACUAUAGUAUCACAUAAGGAACGUUGUUAUACACUGAAAAUGAUCAUAGUAUCAAUAGGAAAAAUGCUUUGUAAAUUAUCCUUAAUGCUAUAUAAUUUAAUAAGGCACAUUUCAUAUCACAGUAUCACAUUAUGGAGCAUAAAUGGCAGGAGGCUAACUUACAUCAGUGAUUGCACGAGCUAGCUUUGCAUAUUGAAUGUAAGCUAGCAUAGCUAAAGAAGCACACAUCUAAUAACAUUGGCAUAAAUAAGAAAAAUCUUUGCAAUAAAAUAGUACAAUGAGUGUUCCAACAUAGUACAGAUAUGACACUGGCGAAUAAGCAAAAUGUUUCUAGCAAAAUGCUAGAAUCUGUGGUCCAGCAUAGUUUAGAACUUUAAAAGUUACUUGCUCUUCUUUUUAGUAAAAUGCAGGUACUACCAAUGGAUUCAUCAUAUCUCACAUAAAAGAUAAGUGUGGAUAUAGCCAACUUUACCUCUAUGCAUGGGCAUGUUCAAAUUGGUUCAAAUUUUUUCAUGUUUCCAUAAAAUAAACAAAUAAAUGAUUUGAAGCCUAUCAUCAUUCUAUGAGUGGAUAAUGGUUCAGGAAACAACGCAAAUUAAUGGAAAGAUCAUUACCUGCAGGAGUACAGGGUAGGAGCAAAAAAAUGAUUUUAGCAUUAGCCGUCACACAUGCACUCCUGCAACAGAUAUAGACUGAUCUGGUUAAAUUAGAUCUGCUAGCAUCACAUGAAAAGCAAUUGAAAGAAGCAUAUCAUUUCUUAAUCCCAAAGUAAUGUCAGCUAAGAUCAUAGACCUCUGGUUCAUCCAUCUGAACUCAAACUGAGAGCAGGAAUAGACAUCAGAGCAAAAAAAAGUACAUAAGAACAUGGCCCUUCACACCUAAAUGCCUGAAUUCUUAGGCACAUACAUUAGAUCAUCCAUGAAGUAAAAUUAGAACCAACAUGUAAAUGUGAUUAAUGGAGAGAAGCACACACCUUUCGCUUGAGGAUUAUCACUCUGCUAAUGGGAAAUCCUGUACGACCAUUCUAUUUUCAAAGGAUGGAAAUGGAACCCGAUUCUACUUUAGCGCCAAGCUACAAAAAGGUAGUGAUAGAGAUCAAUCAAGAAGGGUGUGUGGCAAGUCAAGUUGAAGACAUUCAGUCAUGAUAGUCUGAUAACAAGGUGAUGAAAAUCAUUCUAGACUAAAUAAGAAUUAGGCACCUUCAAUAACACAUGAGACAACCAAGGUAAUAAGCAUUAUGUAUAAACCUUUCACAUGGAUUAACAUGGUAGCUGCAAUCCUAUACUCGGUGAUGGGACCUAAACAAAGUCCUAACUAACCUAUUUUCUAGAGAUAUCCUAGGAAGAUCAUGCUGGACAACACACUCCAAGAACCCAUAUGUCUUGAGAAAUCUCUGAACAGAAGCUCAUGUAUUAUCUGAAAAGCGGGUGGAAUUCACAAGAGUCUAAUUAGCAUAAUGCAAGUGACAAAAACUACACCCGCUAAUAUUUGUAUACACACCUCUGCAUAAUUCGUUCAUCCAAUUAUUCGCAUACCUAAUACGAAAUUAAAAAAUCAGCAAUGUAUAACCAAGACAUCUUUUAGCACUCAAAGACAG